CUGGAUGUGCUCGUUAGUCAUA
Caenorhabditis elegans is the source of this 22-nucleotide microRNA. The record is from Ensembl. Lineage: Eukaryota; Metazoa; Nematoda; Chromadorea; Rhabditida; Rhabditidae.